Molecule: long non-coding RNA, 285 nt
Filed under: Ananas comosus (pineapple)
Lineage: Eukaryota; Viridiplantae; Streptophyta; Magnoliopsida; Poales; Bromeliaceae
Description: long non-coding RNA (ACOM_LNC043251)
Source: RNAcentral
ACGAGUUAUUAUUGUUAGUGGGCUGGGUCGUUACAUUUGGUAUCAGAGCCGGUUCACCAGCUGGACAUGUGUGGCGAGUCUCGGCUGAGCCAGGGUCUGGAUGACGGGCUAGCGAGACGAGUCUCACAUCGCCUGGUGAUCUUGGGCUGUGUGUACGAUUGGACUGACGAGGACGUCAGGGCCUUAACGGGGGGAGUCUGUGACACCCCAGUAGUCCCACAUUGGAUGGGAAAGGGGUUGUCAUUGGGCUUAUAAGAGACUUAGACACUAGUAAUAAUAACUGGG